Molecule: ribosomal RNA, 2903 nt
Filed under: Escherichia coli
Lineage: Bacteria; Pseudomonadati; Pseudomonadota; Gammaproteobacteria; Enterobacterales; Enterobacteriaceae
Description: bacterial LSU rRNA
Rfam family: Bacterial large subunit ribosomal RNA
Source: RNAcentral
UUAAGCGACUAAGCGUACACGGUGGAUGCCCUGGCAGUCAGAGGCGAUGAAGGACGUGCUAAUCUGCGAUAAGCGUCGGUAAGGUGAUAUGAACCGUUAUAACCGGCGAUUUCCGAAUGGGGAAACCCAGUGUGUUUCGACACACUAUCAUUAACUGAAUCCAUAGGUUAAUGAGGCGAACCGGGGGAACUGAAACAUCUAAGUACCCCGAGGAAAAGAAAUCAACCGAGAUUCCCCCAGUAGCGGCGAGCGAACGGGGAGCAGCCCAGAGCCUGAAUCAGUGUGUGUGUUAGUGGAAGCGUCUGGAAAGGCGCGCGAUACAGGGUGACAGCCCCGUACACAAAAAUGCACAUGCUGUGAGCUCGAUGAGUAGGGCGGGACACGUGGUAUCCUGUCUGAAUAUGGGGGGACCAUCCUCCAAGGCUAAAUACUCCUGACUGACCGAUAGUGAACCAGUACCGUGAGGGAAAGGCGAAAAGAACCCCGGCGAGGGGAGUGAAAAAGAACCUGAAACCGUGUACGUACAAGCAGUGGGAGCACGCUUAGGCGUGUGACUGCGUACCUUUUGUAUAAUGGGUCAGCGACUUAUAUUCUGUAGCAAGGUUAACCGAAUAGGGGAGCCGAAGGGAAACCGAGUCUUAACUGGGCGUUAAGUUGCAGGGUAUAGACCCGAAACCCGGUGAUCUAGCCAUGGGCAGGUUGAAGGUUGGGUAACACUAACUGGAGGACCGAACCGACUAAUGUUGAAAAAUUAGCGGAUGACUUGUGGCUGGGGGUGAAAGGCCAAUCAAACCGGGAGAUAGCUGGUUCUCCCCGAAAGCUAUUUAGGUAGCGCCUCGUGAAUUCAUCUCCGGGGGUAGAGCACUGUUUCGGCAAGGGGGUCAUCCCGACUUACCAACCCGAUGCAAACUGCGAAUACCGGAGAAUGUUAUCACGGGAGACACACGGCGGGUGCUAACGUCCGUCGUGAAGAGGGAAACAACCCAGACCGCCAGCUAAGGUCCCAAAGUCAUGGUUAAGUGGGAAACGAUGUGGGAAGGCCCAGACAGCCAGGAUGUUGGCUUAGAAGCAGCCAUCAUUUAAAGAAAGCGUAAUAGCUCACUGGUCGAGUCGGCCUGCGCGGAAGAUGUAACGGGGCUAAACCAUGCACCGAAGCUGCGGCAGCGACACUAUGUGUUGUUGGGUAGGGGAGCGUUCUGUAAGCCUGUGAAGGUGUACUGUGAGGUAUGCUGGAGGUAUCAGAAGUGCGAAUGCUGACAUAAGUAACGAUAAAGCGGGUGAAAAGCCCGCUCGCCGGAAGACCAAGGGUUCCUGUCCAACGUUAAUCGGGGCAGGGUGAGUCGACCCCUAAGGCGAGGCCGAAAGGCGUAGUCGAUGGGAAACAGGUUAAUAUUCCUGUACUUGGUGUUACUGCGAAGGGGGGACGGAGAAGGCUAUGUUGGCCGGGCGACGGUUGUCCCGGUUUAAGCGUGUAGGCUGGUUUUCCAGGCAAAUCCGGAAAAUCAAGGCUGAGGCGUGAUGACGAGGCACUACGGUGCUGAAGCAACAAAUGCCCUGCUUCCAGGAAAAGCCUCUAAGCAUCAGGUAACAUCAAAUCGUACCCCAAACCGACACAGGUGGUCAGGUAGAGAAUACCAAGGCGCUUGAGAGAACUCGGGUGAAGGAACUAGGCAAAAUGGUGCCGUAACUUCGGGAGAAGGCACGCUGAUAUGUAGGUGAAGUCCCUCGCGGAUGGAGCUGAAAUCAGUCGAAGAUACCAGCUGGCUGCAACUGUUUAUUAAAAACACAGCACUGUGCAAACACGAAAGUGGACGUAUACGGUGUGACGCCUGCCCGGUGCCGGAAGGUUAAUUGAUGGGGUUAGCCGCAAGGCGAAGCUCUUGAUCGAAGCCCCGGUAAACGGCGGCCGUAACUAUAACGGUCCUAAGGUAGCGAAAUUCCUUGUCGGGUAAGUUCCGACCUGCACGAAUGGCGUAAUGAUGGCCAGGCUGUCUCCACCCGAGACUCAGUGAAAUUGAACUCGCUGUGAAGAUGCAGUGUACCCGCGGCAAGACGGAAAGACCCCGUGAACCUUUACUAUAGCUUGACACUGAACAUUGAGCCUUGAUGUGUAGGAUAGGUGGGAGGCUUUGAAGUGUGGACGCCAGUCUGCAUGGAGCCGACCUUGAAAUACCACCCUUUAAUGUUUGAUGUUCUAACGUUGACCCGUAAUCCGGGUUGCGGACAGUGUCUGGUGGGUAGUUUGACUGGGGCGGUCUCCUCCUAAAGAGUAACGGAGGAGCACGAAGGUUGGCUAAUCCUGGUCGGACAUCAGGAGGUUAGUGCAAUGGCAUAAGCCAGCUUGACUGCGAGCGUGACGGCGCGAGCAGGUGCGAAAGCAGGUCAUAGUGAUCCGGUGGUUCUGAAUGGAAGGGCCAUCGCUCAACGGAUAAAAGGUACUCCGGGGAUAACAGGCUGAUACCGCCCAAGAGUUCAUAUCGACGGCGGUGUUUGGCACCUCGAUGUCGGCUCAUCACAUCCUGGGGCUGAAGUAGGUCCCAAGGGUAUGGCUGUUCGCCAUUUAAAGUGGUACGCGAGCUGGGUUUAGAACGUCGUGAGACAGUUCGGUCCCUAUCUGCCGUGGGCGCUGGAGAACUGAGGGGGGCUGCUCCUAGUACGAGAGGACCGGAGUGGACGCAUCACUGGUGUUCGGGUUGUCAUGCCAAUGGCACUGCCCGGUAGCUAAAUGCGGAAGAGAUAAGUGCUGAAAGCAUCUAAGCACGAAACUUGCCCCGAGAUGAGUUCUCCCUGACUCCUUGAGAGUCCUGAAGGAACGUUGAAGACGACGACGUUGAUAGGCCGGGUGUGUAAGCGCAGCGAUGCGUUGAGCUAACCGGUACUAAUGAACCGUGAGGCUUAACCUU